CGGGAGUGAAAAUAAAAUAUCUAAGCACUAAGGCUUACCAGUGAAUAAAAGCUAACAAAGCUAAAACUUAAAGAACAUGGCGGCGGAAAUUAAGUUUAGGGGAACUUACCAGGUAAUUGACAACCCUCAAAAAAAAUCACCUUUUUUAAAAGUUUGUAUACCGCCGUCUUGGGCCCUCUUAAGGAGGGCCCGAAAUGGAUUAACCGUCAAGACAGGUCAUGGUGCAGCCUAUAUAAAGGACUAGUAAGGUGAGUUACAAUAAUAAUUUAUUUCGGAAUAAAAAUGUAAAAAUUGAAGGAAGAUGGACUUAACAGUAAUUACUAAAGAAGUAUGUUUUGAAACACAAAAAUUUUCGGUGC
This 359-nucleotide ribosomal RNA is filed under the name Aplysia punctata. RNAcentral describes it as "partial 12S small subunit ribosomal RNA". Lineage: Eukaryota; Metazoa; Mollusca; Gastropoda; Aplysiida; Aplysiidae. The record is from RNAcentral.